CUCUCCGGGCGGACGUAGGUCGGCGAGAUUUCACUCAGGUUCAACUUGUGCAUCUCAUUUGUUAAAAGUUCUUAAAAACCGAGCUAAAUCGCUAAUCUUGAUUGCAAAUCCUGCCUGGGACUCGGUUUUGUGAACGAUAUGACGCCUUUGCGUGUUUGCAGUGGUAGCCGUGCUAAAAGGUGCCUUCCUGUGCUCAGGUCACCAGGGCCGGCUUCGACCCACAGAACGGACGCUGUAUUAAGGCCCCAGGGAAGUCUGUCGUUGUACCUUCAGUUCGAGAGCCUGGAAAAUACUUGGAAACGGGGGCGUGGCUGUGUUUUGCCGACUUGCCGUGACCUUUCCGCUCUCGCUGGCAAAGCCCGCCCGUAACCUCGUAACCUCGGGGAGAGCCCUUGUUCAGGGAGCGCGUUUUCUGCAUUGAGGGUGGUCUCUGGGGACGGUGCCUCAGUCUGAGGAACCAGGGUGCUGCUAGCUGACGAGCGCGAGGGACCUUACGUGAGGGCAACCACUCAUCGUUUCCCUCCCGGCGUCGUGACCGGGCACGCAGCAGGCGCUCAACAAGUAUCUGUGGAGCGAGCGGAAAGAAAGAUGGAACCGCCGACCACUGUCAGAUUUUUAGCUAAACUGUGUCCUUCCACCGACCUGUUUAUCGAAGGCCUUUUCUAACCGAGCGCCACGUUCUGGUAACCCCCAGACGGCUGCGGUGUAGACGCCGCCUCCCGAAGCCCUGGGGCUGGGAUCUGAGAACACACAUGGCACCAUAUCACACAGUCCUCAGCACAAACAAGGGCAAGACCCUGAGAGAUCAAGGGGGAUGGUUUUCCCAGGGAAGAUGCUUCCUAAGCCAGGUUUCAACGAGGGAGCAGGAUUUUAGCAGAGAGCGAGCGAGCAGUCCUCGACCAAUUGGUUCAUUCAUUCGUUCAGCUGGUGUUCGUCCGACAUGUCGCCGGGGCACACGGAGGGAGGAGCGCGUGUGCACGGGGAGUGGCGAGUGCUCUUGUGACGAGAACCUUCCCAGCCUGUGGCGGUUGGGAAGCGUGUGUCCCUCCAGGUGCCGGGGACCCACGGCGGUCUGCUCUGGGGUCCAGCUGCGUCCGGAGGAAUACGAACGUUCUGCAAGAGGCUUCCAGGUUAUGGUGGAGACCUGGUGCUGGUCAGCUGGCCGGACUGCUGCGUCUGAGGGCAGGGCCGUCCCACCGUCACGUGGUGCCAGUGAGAGCCCGGGAGCUGCUCCAGCCUGGGGACCCUUGUUCCACCUGUGUCUGACGGUCCCCGUACCCUCGUGGCUCCAGUCAUAUGCGUGGUGACACGCAAGGAGAGCAAAGCGUAGCGUCAGGGCAGGGAAGCAAGAGCCGCUACUCAGCUGUUUCUUGGGUAGCAGAGCAGGAUGGAGGUGCCUGGUCACGUGUAGGUCAUGCUCGCCCCUCCAGGAGAGAGAACCGACGUGCUGUCCAUCCAGGGAGGGACCCUCCAUCCUCGACAGCUUGUGGCCGAGAAGUGCACCAAUUCUCUGUGUGUGUUGGAGACCGAACUCAAGCCAGACCCCAGGGGCAUGUCAGGCUUCGGGUCGGGGAGUCGGGGGCUGCCUGGCGUCCCCCGGGGUGCUGCCAGGGAACAACGCAUUCGCCACCCAGGCCAGACGCCUCAGGAGCGAGGGUCCCGCUGCUGUCGGGGCCGGACAACGAGCUGCUCUCUGCGUCAAAUCCACGCUGUGCAUCCUCCCAGCAGCCAGCGGCCAUUGUCGCCGUCACUGCCACCUGUGUCUCAGAGCUUUUAGGGAAGCGCUUCUCAUUCACCCACAGCGGUUUUGUUCCUUCCAAUUCUCCUGCACUUGUCAUCCCUCAAUUGUUUUGAGAAGCCGCGUAGAGACUCCUGUGCUCCACCCGCCGUGGCCUGUGACUUUCCUGCCGUUGGAACGACUGAGCUCUGGAAUCCAGCACUGGAGCCUCGGUCUGUUGUUCAGCCUGAGGACAGCGUGGGCGGUGGCGGCACUGCCUGGCAACCGAGGCCUGCGGAGCUGCCUGUGCAGGGAGGAGGGGAAGGAGGAGGCGGCUGUGCAGGGGAGGGGGCUGCCCACUGAGGGAGUGCAGGGGGAGGGGCUGCGCCCGAGGCCAGGAAGGACCCUGGACGCACCCCCCAGCAGGGCCCCUGAGGAGGGCACCGCUCCCAGCGCCUCCUUGAGCUGUGACA
This is a long non-coding RNA of Canis lupus familiaris (dog), 2190 nucleotides long. RefSeq lists it as uncharacterized. Lineage: Eukaryota; Metazoa; Chordata; Mammalia; Carnivora; Canidae. The record is from RefSeq and is a predicted model, not a curated record. The transcript has 3 exons.